RNAcentral lists this ribosomal RNA (300 nucleotides) under uncultured bacterium. Its description in RNAcentral is "bacterial SSU rRNA". It matches the Rfam family "Bacterial small subunit ribosomal RNA", at positions 333 to 650 of the family's 1533-position model. The record is from RNAcentral.
CUGUCCCUACGGGAGGCAGCAGUGGGGAAUAUUGCACAAUGGGGGAAACCCUGAUGCAGCGACGCCGCGUGAGUGAAGAAGUAUUUCGGUAUGUAAAGCUCUCUCAGCAGGGAAGAUAAUGACGGUACCUGACUAAGAAGCCCCGGCUAACUACGUGCCAGCAGCCGCGGUAAUACGUAUGGAGCAAGCGUUAUCCGGAUUUACUGGGUGUAAAGGGAGCGUAGGCGGUAAGGCAAGUCUGAUGUGACAGGCCAGGGCUCAACCCUGGGACUGCAUUGGAAACUGUUUAACUGGAGUGUC